Molecule: long non-coding RNA, 210 nt
Filed under: Elaeis guineensis (African oil palm)
Lineage: Eukaryota; Viridiplantae; Streptophyta; Magnoliopsida; Arecales; Arecaceae
Description: long non-coding RNA (EGUI_LNC001574)
Source: RNAcentral
UCGGCGAUAGAGAAGAGCCUUGCCUUUUCUUUCCUCCUCCAGCUUCUCCUUCUGAUGCUCCAUUUUUGACAGAGCCUCCUGAAGUUCAGCCUGAGAUGCAGGCAGUCUCUGAGUCGCCUGAACCUCCUUUGAAACAGACCUCCACCCCUCUGAGGUGUUUUCUCCCCACGGCUUGCUCUGUCUGAGGUUCGGAGCCUCUUGGCUGAGCUC